This 625-nucleotide ribosomal RNA is filed under the name uncultured bacterium. Its description in RNAcentral is "bacterial SSU rRNA". The stretch from base 1 to 542 matches the Rfam family "Bacterial small subunit ribosomal RNA", at positions 338 to 873 of the family's 1533-position model. The record is from RNAcentral.
CCUACGGGAGGCAGCAGUGGGGAAUUUUGGACAAUGGGCGCAAGCCUGAUCCAGCAAUGCCGCGUGAGUGAAGAAGGCCUUCGGGUUGUAAAGCUCUUUUGUCAGGGAAGAAACGGUGGGGGCUAAUAUCCUUUGCUAAUGACGGUACCUGAAGAAUAAGCACCGGCUAACUACGUGCCAGCAGCCGCGGUAAUACGUAGGGUGCAAGCGUUAAUCGGAAUUACUGGGCGUAAAGCGUGCGCAGGCGGUUUUGUAAGUUUGUCGUGAAAUCCCCGGGCUCAACCUGGGAAUGGCGAUGAAGACUGCAAGGCUAGAAUCUGGCAGAGGGGGGUAGAAUUCCACGUGUAGCAGUGAAAUGCGUAGAGAUGUGGAGGAACACCGAUGGCGAAGGCAGCCCCCUGGGUCAAGAUUGACGCUCAUGCACGAAAGCGUGGGGAGCAAACAGGAUUAGAUACCCUGGUAGUCCACGCCCUAAACGAUGUCUACUAGUUGUCGGGUUUUAAUUAACUUGGUAACGCAGCUAACGCGUGAAGUAGACCGCCUGGGGGAGGUACGGUCGCGAGAAUAAACUUAACUAAGAGUAGUAGACGNGUGAGAGUCGACGACGACGACGACGGAGGAGGAG